RNAcentral lists this ribosomal RNA (253 nucleotides) under uncultured bacterium. Its description in RNAcentral is "partial 16S ribosomal RNA". It matches the Rfam family "Bacterial small subunit ribosomal RNA", at positions 524 to 776 of the family's 1533-position model. The record is from RNAcentral.
GACAGAGGGUGCAAGCGUUGUCCGGAGUUACUGGGCGUAAAGCGCACGCAGGCGGUCACGCAAGUGGGGUGUGAAAGCCGGCAGCUUAACUGCCGGUCGCCAUCUCAGACUGCGCGACUCGAGUGGUGCAGAGGCUGUUCGAAUUGCCGGUGUAGUGGUGAAAUGCGUAGAGAUCGGCAGGAAGACCAAGGGGGAACCCAGGCAGCCGGGCACUGACUGACGCUCAGGUGCGAAAGCGUGGGGAGCGAACCGG